CAAUUGUCGAAAAAACGUGAGUCUUAGAGAAAGAUUUUAUUUACUUUGAUUGAAAUCCUCUCAAUUGGCCGCCAGUUUUUAUUCGCCAAGUAAUUUGACCGAGUCAUAUAUUAAUUCAGUCGAUGAAAUUGUUUUGAAACUUCAGAAAUAUUGGGAAGAACCAUCAGCAGUUGCUAGUAUAAUUUUAACUUCUGAUGUGAACAAAAUUAGGCAGUAUUAAAAACUGGUUUUGCCGAACUGAUAUUAUCAUAGAGAUGCUACUGUACAAAAUAAGAGUAAUUCAUUCAAACAAAUAUACAAAUUUAGAAAACUUAAUGAACCUGUCCACCGAAGUACCAAUAAUGAAAUCUCUAAAUUCAAAAGAGAAGACAAUGGCUCAUCAAGUAAUUUAGCUAGCUUUUCUGAAUAUUAGGACAGAUUAAAUCGUCUUUAGGUACAGCAAAAAAAA
Long non-coding RNA from Harmonia axyridis, 448 nucleotides. RefSeq lists it as uncharacterized. The record is from RefSeq and is a predicted model, not a curated record. The transcript is spliced from 2 exons. NCBI's taxonomy places the organism in Eukaryota, Metazoa, Arthropoda, Insecta, Coleoptera, Coccinellidae.